Long non-coding RNA from Esox lucius (northern pike), 1306 nucleotides. RefSeq lists it as uncharacterized. NCBI's taxonomy places the organism in Eukaryota, Metazoa, Chordata, Actinopteri, Esociformes, Esocidae. The record is from RefSeq and is a predicted model, not a curated record. The transcript has 4 exons.
UGUUAAGGAACAUUUUUACGACAGCCAAAGUGGCUCUGGAUUUCUGGCAUGGUGACUCAAGACAAUUCAGAGAAAGACAAAACUUGCGUCCAAGGAACGGAAAACACACAGCAGUGGGAGGUGAUCCAAUACAUGAGAGGGAGCUGCCUCGGAUUGGUGGUCAGUUGGAUGUAGAGCACUGUAAAGAGGUCAUAUCCUGGAGGAACCACAUCAGUGACAGAGAAAUCGUCCUGCAGAAGAUGGAGACCUUUGAGUACAGACCGCACCUCAUCCACAAUCCUGAUGACUCACACACUGUACUGUGUUUCCAAGGCUACUGGACACUAAAGGGCUGAUAUGUCAAGAUUUUAGCCUCCUCUUUGGACCAGAAACCCACUGCCAAACUGCUUGAGAGGAAUUCAUCCUAUAAAGGAAAGGUGAUCAGAGAGCAGAGAGUCUCACGCCGGUGCUGCAGAGUGUGCUGAAGUCUGCCAGGAAUCAGUACAAUGAUGAAUGAUGAGGAUCGCCCAGAGUGGGACAGUGAUAUGGCAUAUUUCCUGCUGCUCCUGCUUAAGUCCCUUGCGAAGAAACACCAAUUUGCUGUUGCCUAUCAUUGGGAAUCAUUGUCUGCCAAAGACUGGACUGAAAAGACGGAUGUAGAAACCCAGACACAAUUAGCAUAAUUUUAACUGUUAAUUAUUUCUGUUGUGAUGUGAUCUGAUUGUGAUAAUUUAGAAAUGUGUAUUUUUUAUUUUGACUGUUCUCCUUUAUUGCUGAUGGUACAUUGUAGUGGUGUUAAUGUAGAAAUGUAAAAAUCUUUUCAGGAUAUGUAAAUGUUAAAAUAUGUUCAUUUAAUGUUUUUAUUCAUUAUUUUGAUAACUUAUUGCUGUUAGGUUAAUUUUGGAAUGUACAUUUUUGUAUUUUGACUGGUUAUUUAUUGCUGUAGUUAGAUAGUAUUGAUGGUAAUUUUGGAAUGUUUGUCUUGUUAUUUUGAUACAAAUAUAUUUGAUGUACAUUGUAUAUAGUAGUAUUGUUAAAAGAUUUUAAGAGAAGCUAUUCCCUGUCGGAUCAAGCAUGCACUUCAUCCUUCAACGCCUUGCUAAUCCACAACCUAGUGCCUGGAAUGUUAUUUGUGUAUCAGAAAUGUACAUUUAACGCAUUCAAUUGGAAAUUGAUUAUUGUAGAUUGCUAAUCGCACGGCCUUCUAUGCUGGCCUAGAGAUGUUCCGAUUCAGACAUUUAUAUUUUUUAUGAUUUCAUAUAUAUUUUUGUUAAUGCCAUAUGUAUUUUACAAAAGUCGUCCCAAUGAAUCUAUUAACGUAAUGUAA